GUGGCAGUAGGUGUAGGGUGGCUGAAUACAUCUGCAUCAUUGCAUCCAAAUUACCAUGAGAAUUGAAGAAUUGAUUAGAUGUUUUGGUUGCCUUCAUUUCACUUGAAAGUAGCAAAGUAGAUUAGGUAGAAAGGUGUUGGACGGUCACAGCCACUAAUUCCAUGAAUUUAUUUUGAUGAAAGGGAUAUUUAGAAAGGGGUGCAGCGAUGUGAUGCUUGAAGAUGA
This 225-nucleotide long non-coding RNA is filed under the name Vigna radiata. RNAcentral describes it as "long non-coding RNA (VRAD_LNC012019)". The record is from RNAcentral. Lineage: Eukaryota; Viridiplantae; Streptophyta; Magnoliopsida; Fabales; Fabaceae.